GUCAGUAACAGUGGGGAGGUCUCCCCCUGCUACCAUUCUCCACUCUGCUCCACAGCAUGCAGUAACAGUGGGGAGGUCUCCCCCUGCUACCAUUCUCCACUCUGCUCCACAGCAGGCAGUAACAGUGGGGAGGUCUCUCCCUGCUACCAUUCUCCACUCUGCUCCACAGCAUGCAGUAACAGUGGGGAGGUCUCUCCCUGCUACCAUUCUCCACUCUGCUCCACAGCAGGCAGUAACAGUGGGGAGGUCUCUCCCUGCUACCAUUCUCCACUCUGCUCCACAGCAGGCAGUAACAGUGGGGAGGUCUCUCACUGCUACCAUUCUCCACUCUGCUCCACAGCAUGCAGUAACAGUGGGGGGGUCUCUCCCUGCUACCAUUCUCCACUCUGCUCCACAGCAGGCAGUAACAGUGGGGAGGUCUCUCCCUGCUACCAUUCUCCACUCUGCUCCUCAGCAUGCAGUAACAGUGGGGAGGUCUCUCACUGCUACCAUUCUCCACUCUGCUCCACAGCAUGCAGUAACAGUGGGGAGGUCUCUCCCUGCUACCAUUCUCCACUCUGCUCCACAGCAGGCAGUAACAGUGGGGAGGUCUCUCCCUGCUACCAUUCUCCACUCUGCUCCUCAGCAUGCAGUAACAGUGGGGAGGUCUCUCACUGCUACCAUUCUCCACUCUGCUCCACAGCAUGCAGUAACAGUGGGGAGGUCUCUCCCUGCUACCAUUCUCCACUCUGCUCCACAGCAGGCAGUAACAGUGGGGAGGUCUCUCACUGCUACCAUUCUCCACUCUGCUCCACAGCAUGCAGUAACAGUGGGGAGGUCUCUCCCUGCUACCAUUCUCCACUCUGCUCCUCAGCAUGCAGUAACAGUGGGGAGGUCUCUCACUGCUAC
Long non-coding RNA from Oncorhynchus keta (chum salmon), 888 nucleotides. RefSeq lists it as uncharacterized. The transcript is spliced from 3 exons. Lineage: Eukaryota; Metazoa; Chordata; Actinopteri; Salmoniformes; Salmonidae. The record is from RefSeq and is a predicted model, not a curated record.